GGGAGCUAGCGCCAAGGUAUACAUUUGCUCUUAAGAACAGCUGGAACGCACGGACAUUUUGGCGGACGUUCAGAUGCGGAAUGCACAGAAGUGAGUCACAAAAGUUCCGACAAGCAGGAGAGAAAAAAGCAGCGGGAAGUGUUAUUUACAACAAACGAAGACAUCUAGGAUGCCAACGAAUCCGGAGGUCAGAUGAAAGGACACCCACUAAUCCAUGAAUGACUCUCUAGGGGCUAGCUCUAUAUAAAGAAAGCUAUGGGGAGGUGUAUUUAGGCUGUAAUUUUUUGUAUUGCAUUGUUAUUAUUGUUUUUACCUAAAUGCGUCCCUGGGGAAGUGCUCAUGUGAGAAUGAAAU
Non-coding RNA from Pelobates cultripes (western spadefoot toad), 354 nucleotides. Lineage: Eukaryota; Metazoa; Chordata; Amphibia; Anura; Pelobatidae. The record is from the annotation of a GenBank genome assembly.